GCCUUCGUGGUGUAAUGCAGCACACUGAGUCGGUAUUUCAGAGGUCCGUGGUUCGAUCCCCGGCGAAGGCU
Molecule: transfer RNA, 71 nt
Filed under: Stegodyphus mimosarum
Lineage: Eukaryota; Metazoa; Arthropoda; Arachnida; Araneae; Eresidae
Rfam family: tRNA
About the family: Transfer RNA (tRNA) molecules are approximately 80 nucleotides in length. Their secondary structure includes four short double-helical elements and three loops (D, anti-codon, and T loops). Further hydrogen bonds mediate the characteristic L-shaped molecular structure. tRNAs have two regions of fundamental functional importance: the anti-codon, which is responsible for specific mRNA codon recognition, and the 3' end, to which the tRNAs corresponding amino acid is attached (by aminoacyl-tRNA synthetases). tRNAs cope with the degeneracy of the genetic code in two manners: having more than one tRNA (with a specific anti-codon) for a particular amino acid; and 'wobble' base-pairing, i.e. permitting non-standard base-pairing at the 3rd anti-codon position.
Source: Rfam by way of RNAcentral